AAAAAAGGGGGGUGAGGGGCUGUCGCUCGACUUUUUGACACAAAAUGCGUGCACGCCGGAUCUCGUCCUCUCUCUCACAUAGAAUCCAUCUCACCUUUUUGUGCACCACCGCGCGGGCACCCUUUGGAAUGCUUGCGUUUUCACACAAACCCCUUUUAAAAAAGUGUAGAAUGACCCCACUUUGCUAUGACACGCAAUCUAUACAACUUUCAACAACGGAUCUCUUGGCUCUCGCAUCGAUGAAGAACGGCAACGAAAUGCGAUACGGAAUGAGAAUUGCAUAAAUCAGUGAAUCAUCCACUCUUUGAUCGCACCUUGCCCCCCUUGGUAUUCCCAGGGAAAUCCCCGUUUGAGUUGCCGUGAAAAUCUCAACCUUCUCGGGUUCCUCUGGACACCGAAGAAGCUUGGCCUUUGGAGGCCUUUGCUGGUGGCUCUCUAGAGCAGCUCCUCUUAAAGAAUUACGAGGUCCUCUUUGCCGAUCUUUGCAUGGAUAGAUGUUUCCCGACUCGUGUCAGGAUCUGUGCCGUGGACUGCUUCUACCGCUCAAGAUACAUGUUGAAAUGUCUCCCUCCGCAGAUCUCUGACGCAGAAUCCUUGACUCAAUCGGUGAGACACCGCUGACUAAGCUAUCAUAGGCGAGAAGGUGGUCAUUGCAGUAGCGGGCGAAUCGCAA
RNAcentral lists this unclassified non-coding RNA (673 nucleotides) under uncultured fungus. Its description in RNAcentral is "partial contains ITS1, 5.8S rRNA and ITS2". The stretch from base 205 to 359 matches the Rfam family "5.8S ribosomal RNA". Lineage: Eukaryota; Fungi. The record is from RNAcentral.